RNAcentral lists this ribosomal RNA (253 nucleotides) under uncultured bacterium. RNAcentral describes it as "partial 16S ribosomal RNA". It matches the Rfam family "Bacterial small subunit ribosomal RNA", at positions 524 to 776 of the family's 1533-position model. The record is from RNAcentral.
UACGGGGGGGGCAAGCGUUGUUCGGAAUUACUGGGCGUAAAGGGCUUGUAGGUGGCCAACUAAGUCAGACGUGAAAUCCCUCGGCUUAACCGGGGAACUGCGUCUGAUACUGGAUGGCUUGAGUUUGGGAGAGGGAUGCGGAAUUCCAGGUGUAGCGGUGAAAUGCGUAGAUAUCCGGAGGAACACCGGUGGCGAAGGCGGCUUCCUGGACCGACACUGACGCUGAGGCGCGAAAGCUAGGGGAGCAAACGGG